This 72-nucleotide transfer RNA is filed under the name Aedes aegypti (yellow fever mosquito). It matches the Rfam family "tRNA". Rfam says of the family: Transfer RNA (tRNA) molecules are approximately 80 nucleotides in length. The record is from Rfam by way of RNAcentral. Lineage: Eukaryota; Metazoa; Arthropoda; Insecta; Diptera; Culicidae.
GGCUCAGUAGCUAAGUUGGUAAAGCACUCAUCUAGCAUACAGGAGUCGUGGAUUCGAAUCCCACCUGAGCAA